GUGUGAUCGUGCGUCAGAGUCGGGGCUGAGACCAGUCCUAGCCAGGGCAGUUACCAGGACGGUGUCCGGAGGCCGGGAUUCGCGGAGGGUCCACCACCAGGAAGAAACGCCAGAAGGAAGAAACCUCAGACAGAUCGCCGGGGACGCAGCGCGGGAUCCCAGCCUCAGGCGUGUGCGGACGGUGUGCGGGAAGGGAGUGUAUCCUGGUGUAUGACAGCAUAUAGUAGAGACCAGUGUCAAUUAGGGCCUGUGAACUGAGACAGGGUGACUGGCUAAGUCCACAACCCAUUAGAAACCCAGAAAUAAUCAAAUCAUGAGGGAUCAUGGAAAGGAAGCUGAAUUUGCUGAGUUUUGCCACGUGGGCAUUGCAUGCCUAUGUGAUUAACCACCAAUAAAAACCUGGGACAUCAAAAAAUAAAUAAGCUGCUUUAAUUGCCAAGAAUUCACAUGUGGUUGUAUGCAGCAUUACUGGGAGAUUGAAGUGUAUCUGCAUGUGAUUCUACUGUGAUGGACACUUGUAAAUUUGUGCCUGGAGUCUCCUGGAAUUUGCCCUGAGAAUCUUUUUCCUUUGUUGAUAAGAAUCUGCAUCCUUUUGUUUUAAUAAACGAUAAACAUGAGUAUAA
Homo sapiens (human) is the source of this 623-nucleotide long non-coding RNA. Ensembl annotates it as small nucleolar RNA host gene 27. Its record names the gene SNHG27. Lineage: Eukaryota; Metazoa; Chordata; Mammalia; Primates; Hominidae. The record is from Ensembl.